GCCCCCAUUAAUGCAAAAAGGGUCAACACAGGGAAAGUUGUGGCUGACCUGACACAGCAAGCAAAGACGGGUCCAUUCAUCUUUGAUGGUGAGGUGUUCAGUGCCGUCCAAGAGAGGCUCAUCCCUGUUAAACAGGAAGCUGCUACACAGCCAGCACAUACUUCAAUUCUUCAAGCUCUUUGUGGUCUUUAUUAGGACUCACCACACCAGCUCAAACCAAAUGCAGCGAAGGACAACGACAGGCGUGUUCGGAAAUACGCUCUGUGCGCACAGUGGUUCACUCAUUCAGAAA
Molecule: long non-coding RNA, 292 nt
Organism: Hippocampus comes (tiger tail seahorse)
Lineage: Eukaryota; Metazoa; Chordata; Actinopteri; Syngnathiformes; Syngnathidae
Exons: 3
Source: RefSeq, a predicted model, not a curated record